GUGCCAGCAGCCGCGGUAAUACGAAGGUGGCAAGCGUUGUUCGGAAUUACUGGGCGUAAAGCGCGUGUAGGCGGCUCUUCAAGUCAGGCGUGAAAGCCCUGAGCUCAACUCAGGAACUGCGUUUGAUACUGUCGAGCUAGAGUGUGGAAGGGGCAAUCGGAAUUCCGUGUGUAGCGGUGAAAUGCGUAGAUAUACGGAGGAACACCAGAGGCGAAGGCGGAUUGCUGGGCCAACACUGACGCUGAGACGCGAAAGCCAGGGUAGCAAACGGGAUUAGAAACCCGGGUAGUCC
Molecule: ribosomal RNA, 292 nt
Filed under: uncultured bacterium
Lineage: Bacteria
Description: partial 16S ribosomal RNA
Rfam family: Bacterial small subunit ribosomal RNA
Source: RNAcentral